Molecule: ribosomal RNA, 286 nt
Filed under: Escherichia coli
Lineage: Bacteria; Pseudomonadati; Pseudomonadota; Gammaproteobacteria; Enterobacterales; Enterobacteriaceae
Also listed under: 3 other names
Description: partial 16S ribosomal RNA
Rfam family: Bacterial small subunit ribosomal RNA
Source: RNAcentral
AAUGCGUAGAGAUCUGGAGGAAUACCGGUGGCGAAGGCGGCCCCCUGGACGAAGACUGACGCUCAGGUGCGAAAGCGUGGGGAGCAAACAGGAUUAGAUACCCUGGUAGUCCACGCCGUAAACGAUGUCGACUUGGAGGUUGUGCCCUUGAGGCGUGGCUUCCGGAGCUAACGCGUUAAGUCGACCGCCUGGGGAGUACGGCCGCAAGGUUAAAACUCAAAUGAAUUGACGGGGGCCCGCACAAGCGGUGGAGCAUGUGGUUUAAUUCGAUGCAACGCGAAGAACC